Molecule: unclassified non-coding RNA, 257 nt
Filed under: Tremella sp.
Lineage: Eukaryota; Fungi; Basidiomycota; Tremellomycetes; Tremellales; Tremellaceae
Description: partial contains 5.8S ribosomal RNA, internal transcribed spacer 2, and large subunit ribosomal RNA
Rfam family: 5.8S ribosomal RNA (bases 1-52)
Source: RNAcentral
AACGCAUAUUGCGCCCUUUGGUAUUCCGAAGGGCAUGCCUGUUCGAGCGUCAUUAUCAACCAUCAAGCCUGGCUUGUCGUUGGACCUCUUUACCGCUGAAAUAUGUGGUAGGUCCGAAAGAUAAUGACGGCGUCGUGUUUGACCCUAGAUGCAACGAGCUUUUUAUAGCACGCAUUGAAGUGGUCGGCCGACCCGGUCUUUAACCAUUAUUUUCUAAGGUUGACCUCGGAUCAGGUAGGAAUACCCGCUGAACUUAA